RNAcentral lists this ribosomal RNA (143 nucleotides) under Escherichia coli. RNAcentral's name for it is "partial 23S ribosomal RNA". It matches the Rfam family "Bacterial large subunit ribosomal RNA", at positions 1 to 142 of the family's 2925-position model. RNAcentral also lists the same sequence under 2 other names. Lineage: Bacteria; Pseudomonadati; Pseudomonadota; Gammaproteobacteria; Enterobacterales; Enterobacteriaceae. The record is from RNAcentral.
GGUUAAGCGACUAAGCGUACACGGUGGAUGCCCUGGCAGUCAGAGGCGAUGAAGGACGUGCUAAUCUGCGAUAAGCGUCGGUAAGGUGAUAUGAACCGUUAUAACCGGCGAUUUCCGAAUGGGGAAACCCAGUGUGUUUCGAC